RNAcentral lists this long non-coding RNA (1472 nucleotides) under Zea mays. RNAcentral's name for it is "long non-coding RNA (ZMAY_LNC003604)". The record is from RNAcentral. Lineage: Eukaryota; Viridiplantae; Streptophyta; Magnoliopsida; Poales; Poaceae.
UCGGAGUUUCUUUUCAAAAUAACUAAAUACAAUACACCAUAUGGCGACAAGAUCCUCCAUCAACAAAGUUGACUGGGAGACGACGGCCUAGAUCUCUCCGAACUCAUCUUCAUGAUUCUCCUCCGGUGGUACCUGUUCUUAACCUGGGAGUGAUUAUAGCAAGGGUGAGCUCCCAUACGGUCAUCGCUCAACAAGUGUGGGGAAUAAUGUGUAUGAGCUCACUUACGGUGGGGGCUCAUGUGUAGUGUAAGGCUGAUCAACAAAUAAUGGUUAAGGCUGAGCAUUGCUUUUAAUAAGUUGGUCAAAAUUUUAUUAGCAGUUACUAAGUAUAAGUGUAUACCAUCCUAAUAAAAUAAGAGAUCACAAUUGAUAAAUAAACCCACAAUGCAAUGCAUAUGACAGAUUAAGUUUAAUUCCAUAAGUUAAUCAUACGAGAGUCCUGAGCCGCUCUUGACCGUAUACCAGUUUUACACUCUGCAGAGGUUGCGCAUCUUUACCCACAAGACGUGUUUCCCGUGUAGCCAAGGUUAGCUAGACCCUUAGACACUGCCAAGGUGAAUGGCUAGGGAUCCACUGCGAGGCCUUUACAAAGUUCCACUAGCUUGAGAGAACCCGCUACGGUUUCAGGCAGAGGGGGGUAUAGGAAUCCCUCGUCCGAACAGCUAUCACAGACAGUUCGACCCGAGAACCUCCCUAUACUUGCGGCAACUCCUCCCCGCUUGCCCCUUUCGGGUAAGGUAAUCUCUCACUAGCUUUCCUAAUUAGUUGGCCAAGAGCGUCCCAUUAAACCCUUGUGGUAGCACUGUUUUCUCAGGUUAAGCUCCAUGUUCCAGUUAACAAAAUGAUCUUAUCAUGUAUCAAAAAUAAUUCAUAAACAGUCAUAAGUAAUAAUAAUGCAUGAUCGUGAUUCAUAUGUAUUAUAACACCCAAAACCAGAUAGAGCACUGGCAGGACUACCCAAUAAUUCAUUUGUAUGCAAGGUGUAGGGUAAACAAAACUAGGUAACCUAUUAGGUCCCAUCAGCUUAACCUAACUGUGCCACAGUGAUUAACAAAACAUUAUUAGGUAAAAGUAUGUGAUUAAGGACACAACUUGCCUUUUUGGUGCAACUCCAGGUACUUCUCCAAGUUGAGCUUCAGGUUCCCGUAACCUCGCUUCUAUUCGCAGCAAAACAUAUAAAUAGGCAACCAAUAAAUAAAAAUAACAUUACACCAAUCAUGAAUAACAGCUGGGUGAAGAUCGCUCGCAUGGCGCCCUACAGACAGGGCUACAUGCCCCACUGCAGUUGCCGAUGCCCGUCCUGACCGCCGCCCGCCCGCGAUGACGCGCUCCCAUCUGUUGUGGCGGCUGCCCGAUCUCCUAUUGCUGUCCCGUCACGUCCGUUUCCUUCCUGCUGGCUGUGAUCUUGUCAUCGAUCUCCUUCCUGUGGCUGACUCUCUCUCUUUUUUUAGCUAGCGCUGAUCCCCGUAGAU